Molecule: ribosomal RNA, 253 nt
Filed under: uncultured bacterium
Lineage: Bacteria
Description: partial 16S ribosomal RNA
Rfam family: Bacterial small subunit ribosomal RNA
Source: RNAcentral
CGGGGUAGAGUAACGCGUGGGUAACCUGCCAUAUACAGGGGGAGUAACAGCGAGAAAUUGCUGCUAAACCGCAUAAGCGCACGGAGUCGCAUGACUCAGUGUGAAAAACUCCGGUGGUAUAUGAUGGACCCGCGUCUGAUUAGCCAGUUGGCAGGGUAACGGCCUACCAAAGCGACGAUCAGUAGCCGGCCUGAGAGGGUGGACGGCCACAUUGGGACUGAGACACGGCCCAAACUCCUACGGGAGGCAGCAG